GACGAACCGUGCGAACGUUGUUCGGAAUCACUGGGCUUAAAGGGAGCGUAGGCGGGCUAACAAGUCUGGGGUGAAAUGCCGCGGCUCAACCGUGGAACUGCCUUAGAUACUGUCGGCCUCGAGGGAGAUAGGGGCAUGCGGAACAGUAGGUGGAGCGGUGAAAUGCGUAGAUAUCAGUAGGAACACCAAUGGCGAAGGCAGCUUGCUGGGCAUUUUCUGACGCUAAGGCACGAAAGCGUGGGGAGCGAACAGG
RNAcentral lists this ribosomal RNA (253 nucleotides) under uncultured bacterium. Its description in RNAcentral is "partial 16S ribosomal RNA". It matches the Rfam family "Bacterial small subunit ribosomal RNA", at positions 524 to 776 of the family's 1533-position model. The record is from RNAcentral.